ACCUGGGAGGCUGCAAACUGUGGAAGCUGUACGCACAGUGUAGCAGACUAGUGGUUAGAGGAGACCCCUCCCAUGACACAACGCAGCAGCGGGGCCCGAGCACUGAGGGAAGCUGUACCUC
This 121-nucleotide long non-coding RNA is filed under the name dengue virus type 3. Its description in RNAcentral is "Dengue virus type 3 partial sfRNA3". The stretch from base 6 to 77 matches the Rfam family "Flavivirus DB element". Rfam says of the family: These DB elements are thought to be required for efficient translation. The record is from RNAcentral. Lineage: Riboviria; Orthornavirae; Kitrinoviricota; Flasuviricetes; Amarillovirales; Flaviviridae.